CAGGCCUAACACAUGCAAGUCGAACGGCAGCACUAGUAUAGCUUGCUCUCUUGGUGGCUAGUGGCGGACGGGUGUAGUAACGCGUAGGAAUCUGCCUAGUAGUGGGGGACAACUCGGGGAAACUCGAGCUAAUACCGCAUACGCCCUACGGGGGAAAGCGGGGGAUCUUCGGACCUCGCGCUAUUAGAUGAGCCUGCGUUGGAUUAGCUUGUUGGUGAGGUAAUGGCUCACCAAGGCGACGAUCCAUAGCUGGUCUGAGAGGACGAUCAGCCACACUGGGACUGAGACACGGCCCAGACUCCUACGGGAGGCAGCAGUGGGGAAUAUUGGACAAUGGGGGAAACCCUGAUCCAGCAAUACCGCGUGUGUGAAGAAGGCCUGCGGGUUGUAAAGCACUUUCAAUUGGGAAGAAAAGCCUAGGGUUAAUAACCCUGGGUCUUGACGUUACCUUUAGAAGAAGCACCGGCUAACUCCGUGCCAGCAGCCGCGGUAAU
Molecule: ribosomal RNA, 494 nt
Filed under: uncultured bacterium
Lineage: Bacteria
Description: bacterial SSU rRNA
Rfam family: Bacterial small subunit ribosomal RNA
Source: RNAcentral